Long non-coding RNA from Lagenorhynchus albirostris (white-beaked dolphin), 1382 nucleotides. RefSeq lists it as uncharacterized. NCBI's taxonomy places the organism in Eukaryota, Metazoa, Chordata, Mammalia, Artiodactyla, Delphinidae. The record is from RefSeq and is a predicted model, not a curated record. The transcript is spliced from 5 exons.
CACCGCCGCCCGCAAACCCGCCCACACGCCUGGCCUCCAGGCUCGCGGAAGGCAGCCGGGGCGCAAAGCUGGGGCGCGGGACCCGGGGAACCCAAAGGCCGGGCCUUCCGAAGGGUACGCGCGCGCCACUGCGCGUGCGUAAGCGCGCGGGGGUGGUGCGUUUGUGGCCUGGGGCGGCCGGCGUGUGCGCACGCGCGCCUGGUCGGGGCGGUGUUUUCUCUUUCAGCCCGUGGCUACCCCGGGGGAUGCCGGGAGUGAGGCCUUCUAGACUCCACGCGGUCGGAACCGGAAGGGAUUCCAGGGAGUGCCCAGAAGGGGGAACCGAGGCCCAGAGACACUGGUGUCCCGCACCGACCAUCCGUGUCCCGCACCGACCACACCGACAUCUUCCCAAGCGCAGAGUGCAGUUACAGAAUUUCAGAAAUCAUUCUUUGAUCGUCCUAGUUGUUCAAGUUCUGUUGCUUCCAUAGGGAUUCCACAUAUAAGUGAUCCUGGGCAUAUAUCUAGAGAAAACUAUAAUACAAAAAGGUACAUGCACCCCAAUGUUCACUGCAGCACUAUUUACAAUAGCCAAGAUGUGGAAGCAACCUAAAUGUCCAUCAACAGAUAAAUGCAUAAAGAAGAUGUGGUACAUAUAUACAAUGAAAUAUUACUCGGCCAUAAAAAAGAACAAAAUAAUGCCAUUUGCAGCAACAUGGAUGGACCUAGAGAUUCUCAUACUGAAGAAAAGCAACAGAUGGCAUCUACACUUUAUAUGCCAAGAUGCUCUCUUAGAGUUUGGAGAGAGUCUGGGAGCAGCGUAAUGUGGACCAGGCCAGUUCCAGACUGAGGCAGAGCUGGAGUCUCCUCCCCAGUCACCACAGCUCACAGAGCAAGGCCGGAACAAGCUGGACUGUGGGCCUUCUGCUCUCUUAGAAUCUGGAAUUCACCUUGGAUUUUGGAAUCUGGAGAAUAACACUAUUUACAAUAGCCAGGACAUGGAAGCAACCUAAAUGUCCAUCAACAGAAGAAUGGAUAAAGAAGAUGUGGUAUAUAUAUGCAAUGGAAUAUUACUCAGCCAUAAAAAGGAAUGAAAUUGUGCAAUUUGCAGAGAUGUGGAUGGACCUAGAGACUGUCAUACAGAGUGAAGCAGAGAGAUCGCCAAAGCGCCUGUACAGUACUGCCAGCGCCUUCGCAGAAGCCCAAACUGAAGGCUGCGAGGACGAGGGUCAGCUCUGCGGUCCCCCACCCAGCCCCGCACCGCCCCCAGUGGUGUUCAGACAGCCUGUUUCAGGAGCCACAUGGGCUGGGUCUGCUCACUCAGACUGUUUAAGGUUUUGAGCUCAGUGGAAUAAGAAGUUUCCCUGCAGAUCUACGUGGCCUCUGGACUGAAAUACAAAAUA